RNAcentral lists this ribosomal RNA (484 nucleotides) under uncultured bacterium. RNAcentral's name for it is "partial 16S ribosomal RNA". It matches the Rfam family "Bacterial small subunit ribosomal RNA", at positions 28 to 507 of the family's 1533-position model. The record is from RNAcentral.
AUUGAACGCUGGCGGCAUGCUUUACACAUGCAAGUCGAACGGCAGCGCGGGCUUCGGCCUGGCGGCGAGUGGCGAACGGGUGAGUAAUGCAUCGGAACGUGCCCAGUAGUGGGGGAUAGCCCGGCGAAAGCCGGAUUAAUACCGCAUACGACCUGAGGGUGAAAGCGGGGGACCGAAAGGCCUCGCGCUAUUGGAGCGGCCGAUGUCGGAUUAGCUAGUUGGUGGGGUAAAGGCUUACCAAGGCGACGAUCCGUAGCUGGUCUGAGAGGACGACCAGCCACACUGGGACUGAGACACGGCCCAGACUCCUACGGGAGGCAGCAGUGGGGAAUUUUGGACAAUGGGGGCAACCCUGAUCCAGCCAUGCCGCGUGCGGGAAGGGGGCCUUCGGGUUGUAAACCGCUUUUGUUCGGGAAGAAAUCCUCUGGGCUAAUACCCCGGGGGGAUGACGGUACCGGAAGAAUAAGCACCGGCUAACUACGUG